AUGAUAUGCAAAAUUAGACUUUGCAAAAUAAUAAAUUUAACAAUGCAUGCAUCCUAAGUGUGUGCUCAAUUUAUCCUACGUUCUGUCAUGGGGAAUCAUAUAUAUAUAAAGUCCUCGUAUUUCUUUCCGGAUUUACUUCUCGCCCAAAAUCUGCCCAACAAUACUCGUUUAACUCCACCUAAACAAUUAUUGAACCAGCCCAAAAAUAAAAAGAUAAGCAGCACAACCUGUGUUCUAAAUCCACUAAAUUAAAUACUCCCAGUCCUACACAGAAAAAAUAAAUGACGAGCAACUAAAUAAUUUAAUAUACUUACUUCCAGCCACCAUGCGUAUAUACUCCUUUCCCAACACAAUACAUUUAUACAUACAUAUUAUUAUAUUCCCAACCACUAAGUAUAAAAAGAAAAAGAAAAGGCUGUCAUUUACUAUACUCCCAGCCGUAAUUCAUUAGGGAAUAAAAAAAAAAGAAGGAAAAGCUUUACUUAAUACUCCCAGCCAUCGUCUCUCUCCCUUUUCAAUUCAACCCAGCUGCUCUCUCUCUUACUUUCACAUUUUCACGCCUAAAAACAGAAACAACUCCCUCAAAUUCUUCUCUAAUUCCACAUGAUUCAAAAUUGUUCCUUCUCUCCCUCUGAUUCUCACUUCACAGAAAUACAAAUCUCGACUCCCACCAUAGCUUCCUCCGUAAAUUGCAGGAUUUGGACCCUACUGUACUAUCCUCUCUCUCUCUAUUUUCAGCAAGCAAACUCUCUCUCGUUCCUCACACCCUCCGUCGCCGAGCAGCCCACUGCCGCUGUCACGGUCUCUCCGUCGCUGUUGGUUCUAACGCUACACCGCCCCUGCUCCGUCCCCUCCGGGGGACGCUGUCGUCGCUGCCGGGAGACACGACGCCGCUGCUGUCAGCAGCGUCGUCGGUCAGUCUCUCCCACUCCGUUGCCCCGAUCUACCCCAAAACAGCCCCGACGCCUCCGAUUCCAAACCGGUUCGUUAAAGGUUAUUGCAGAAGAAAUUGAUAUACCUUUGGAGAGGAGAAAUUGCCUAGCAGCAGAAGGAAUUGAAUUCACGGCAGUUUUGUAUUUUUUUAUCCUCAAACUGUGAUGUCAAGCAAGAAUUGUGGCAGGAGUCAGUAAAUUGCGAUUUUGUUAUCGCAGAAUUGAAUUUGAAGGGAUAAUACCUUUAGUUUGAUCGAGCAAUUGGAACGUAGAAGAUUUCUCUAUGUUACUUUCCUCCGAUUUUGAAUAUA
Long non-coding RNA from Salvia splendens (bonfire salvia), 1243 nucleotides. RefSeq lists it as uncharacterized. Lineage: Eukaryota; Viridiplantae; Streptophyta; Magnoliopsida; Lamiales; Lamiaceae. The record is from RefSeq and is a predicted model, not a curated record. The transcript has 2 exons.